CACACACACAUGCAAGCAGGCACGCACCCACACAAACAUCACAAAGACAUAUAAAUCGGGAUCAUUCAUUAAUGCAAUCCAAAGAUGACACGUUUAACAAUUUAAUUUUACAUUAACAUAUGUCGUGUAUCUUUACAUUCUGACACUCAGUUUACUUUCAUAACUCUGUUAUUCUGUUUAUUUUCAAAUGUAUAUUACUCUCACAGUAACAAAAUAAACAUAAUUACUCAAAACAGCACGAAUAAGAGAUAAUGCGCUACGGUCCCUAAGCUGUGCGUGAAAAAGAAACUGCUAACGCGGAAGUGUCGCGUCUUUUAAGGUGGAACGAAAAGCGUCAAUAAGAAGCUGCGAAUAAGAAGCUAGAUUCAGCCUCGUGCUAAACUCGCCGAUCGGUUACAUCCAGCCACAGCCGAUGUCGAACACACCUAUUUCCUUUCAGGGAUUGUGCCCUGAUGCCAUCUGCCCCAUUCUCCCAGCCUAAUCUUCCCUCUCGAUGGCUAGCUUCACAUCGGUUGGCUCUCCUUUGGCUUUCUUCGGCUCUCUUCAUCCUGUCUGCCUGCCUCGCUGCUCUCCCUGAUAACAUUUCCUGUCUGAUGCCUUGACGUCUGACUCUUUCUGCCAGGUGCCAUCCUCAGCGUUGACUCACUUUAGUGCCACCCUGCUGAUUGGCAUUGCACUUCUGAGGUCAUCACCAUCUUUCUUCAGCCAACCAAAACAAUUCUCACCAACCACCCCGGCUCUGCUAAGCUUGAUGUUGGAGGUCUGCUGUUUUUGAAGCAGGGGACCACUGUCCAUUAAAGGCUUUCUAAACCAUUUAACAAAAUCACAAAAGAUAGGGUAGUUCAUACUCCAUGUGAUGUGCUAUACAAUGGAAGGGCCAUCACAUCUGGAUACUGCAAAGAACAAUUUACUAACUUAUCAAUUAUUAAAUGAAGAAAGGCAAUGGAAAAGCAAAGAUAUUUCUUUCCCUGGGGAAUUUGAGUCUUAAAUUUAGUAAUUACUGUUUUAUGGAAUAAAUAAAAGUUGAAUAUUACGUUA
Molecule: non-coding RNA, 1038 nt
Organism: Paramisgurnus dabryanus
Lineage: Eukaryota; Metazoa; Chordata; Actinopteri; Cypriniformes; Cobitidae
Source: RefSeq, a predicted model, not a curated record